This is a long non-coding RNA of Falco peregrinus (peregrine falcon), 486 nucleotides long. RefSeq lists it as uncharacterized. The record is from RefSeq and is a predicted model, not a curated record. The transcript is spliced from 4 exons. Lineage: Eukaryota; Metazoa; Chordata; Aves; Falconiformes; Falconidae.
UUUCAUUCAGAAGUCAUGAUUCACCAUUGUCUCUUAUUAUUCUUUCUUCAGUUUAUGGAUUUAAAGCACCCAGUCGUGGAAAAUACCUUUUGCAUAAAUGUCAUCUGCUCUGUGGAGAAAAAAACAGGAAGAUCAUAAAGUUGGAGCAUACCUAUGCCAGCCUUAGUACACAGAGUGUUUCCCGGCACAAAGCUCUAGAGCAGAGCUGUCCCUCCAACUCCUCCAUGGCUGUCCUCUCCCACAGCAGCUUCUGAAACAGGAAUUCAACUGAGGCAGCAAGGCUGCCAUGAUACUUUGUAGAUCACGUACCAUGAGAAACGGCAGUUGUGCUUACACCUUUGUAGCAUUGGGGCUUCCAGCUCAUUAUGAGCUUGGCAGUGAGUCUGCUGGUGAUUUUGCUGCUGGUAUUAGAUAUUAAUCAGAUGGCUGGGAUUUCUGAUGCAGUCUUUGUACUGGCAUGAAAACAGCAGUAUAUCACGUGGCAGG